Molecule: ribosomal RNA, 546 nt
Filed under: uncultured Nitrososphaerota archaeon
Lineage: Archaea; Thermoproteati; Nitrososphaerota
Description: uncultured thaumarchaeote partial 16S ribosomal RNA
Source: RNAcentral
UACAACGCACUACCUGUUCAUAGUAGUCGUUGCUGUCAACAGCACGCUGCUAACCAUCAACGCAGGUGACUACAUCUUCUACACAGACUGGAUGUGGACAUCCUUCGUGGUAUUCUCGGUCUCGCAGUCGACUAUGCUCGCUGUGGGUGCGGUAUACUACAUGUUGUUCACAGGCGUACCUGGCACAGCCACCUACUAUGCAACAAUCAUGACCAUCUACACAUGGGUUGCAAAAGGUGCGUGGUUUGCACUUGGUUACCCCUACGACUUCGUCGGGCAACAAGACGCAACAAGCACGCAGCCAUAAUCAUUGGCGGUACGCUGGUUGGCCUAUCCUUCCCGCUGUUCAACAUGGUCAACCUGUUGCUGGUCAGGGACCCGCUUGAAGUCGCAUUCAAGUAUCCUAGACCGACACUGCCUGCGUAUAUGACGCCAAUCGAACCUCAGGUAGGCAAGUUCUACAACUCGCCUGUCGCGCUAGGUUCUGGCGCUGGUGCAGUGCUAACGGUGCCCAUGACGGCGUUGGGUGCAAAACUAAACACGUGG